Molecule: ribosomal RNA, 253 nt
Filed under: uncultured bacterium
Lineage: Bacteria
Description: partial 16S ribosomal RNA
Rfam family: Bacterial small subunit ribosomal RNA
Source: RNAcentral
UACAGAGGGUGCGAGCGUUAAUCGGAGUUACUGGGUGUAAAGGGCGCGUAGGCGGUGCCAUGUGUGUGAUGUGAAAGCCCCGGGCUUAACCUGGGAAGUGCAUCGCAAACUAUGGUGCUAGAGUAUAUGAGAGGGUGGCGGAAUUUCCGGUGUAGCGGUGAAAUGCGUAGAGAUCGGAAGGAACGUCGAUGGCGAAGGCAGCCACCUGGCAUAAUACUGACGCUGAGGCGCGAAAGCGUGGGGAGCGAACAGG